AUUGAACGCUGGCGGCAGGCCUAACACAUGCAAGUCGAGCGGUAGAGAGGUGCUUGCAUCUCUUGAGAGCGGCGGACGGGUGAGUAAUGCCUAGGAAUCUGCCUAGUGGUGGGGGAUAACGUUCGGAAACGGACGCUAAUACCGCAUACGUCCUACGGGAGAAAGCGGGGGAUCUUCGGACCUCGCGCCAUUAGAUGAGCCUAGGUCGGAUUAGCUAGUUGGUGAGGUAAUGGCUCACCAAGGCGACGAUCCGUAACUGGUCUGAGAGGAUGAUCAGUCACACUGGAACUGAGACACGGUCCAGACUCCUACGGGAGGCAGCAGUGGGGAAUAUUGGACAAAUGGGCGAAAGACCUGAUCCAGCCAUGCCGCGUGUGUGAAGAAGGUCUUCGG
This 393-nucleotide ribosomal RNA is filed under the name uncultured bacterium. RNAcentral's name for it is "bacterial SSU rRNA". It matches the Rfam family "Bacterial small subunit ribosomal RNA", at positions 30 to 421 of the family's 1533-position model. The record is from RNAcentral.